Long non-coding RNA from Cyprinus carpio (common carp), 1639 nucleotides. Lineage: Eukaryota; Metazoa; Chordata; Actinopteri; Cypriniformes; Cyprinidae. The record is from Ensembl.
CUAGAAGAAAAAAAAAACAUUAAUUCUACCAAAAGUUUUUGUGUAUGUAAAGGAAUUAAUACCUUUAUUCAACAAGAAUGCAUUGAUCAAAUUUAAUUGCUACAAAAAAGGAUCAAAUAAAUGCUGUUGUUUUGAACUUUCUAUACAUCAAAGAAUUCUGAAAAAACAAAACUGUUUCAACAAAAUAUUAAACAGCACAACUGUUUCGAGCACUGAUAAUUAUAAGAAAUGUUUCUUGAGGGCCAAAUCAGCAUAUUGUUGAUUUCUAAAGGAUCAUGUGAUACUAAGGACUGUAAUGUUAAUGGCUGAUGAAAAUUUAGCUUUGCCAUUUCAGGAAUAAACUGCAAUUUAAAAUAUAUUAAAACAGAAAACAGUUGAUAUAGAAGAAAUGGAUUUUGAAUAAAGGAGGACAAAGGAGAGAAAGAGUGAAUUAAUUUACACUGUCUAACUUUGCCCACUGGUCUUUAUAUACUAUCCAUCCCAUUCCACAGUGUUCCAGCAACCAUCAGGUGUUCCAUUUGCUUCCCUCAGUGCUCCCUGGGAAAUGCGGUUUGCAGGACACCCACGCAAUCAGGAUACUCAUUUCACGCUGUUCAUGCAGUGGGAUUUAUGUCAUACAUUUCUCUCUCUCUCUCUCUCUCUCUCUCUCUCUCUCUCUUCUUGCAUUAAAGCUUGUUUCUAAUUACUAGUCAGAAAUCCAGCCCUUUUUCUGUGUCGGCCUCCCGGAACAGUCACUGGAAAUGACACCUGCGACGCAGCCGCGAUGGCUAUAAAAUGACAAAUUCAAAGAGGGGAAGGAGAAAAAGCAAGAAUUAAAGAAAAAGCAGGGGGUGAGGAGCGUGUGAUAGGAGAGCAGGGUUUUCUCAGCACUGGUAGGAGCAGAUGGUGAGCACAUUUUGCACAUCAUUUGUGAAUGAUUUCAAAAUCUAUUUAUCUAUUCCAAAGAGAUCGCUGGAAUCCCCAUCUGCCUGCCUUUUUUCUCCUCUCUUCUAUAAUUGUUUCCAUCUCACAUCGUUGCAAACGGAGAAGAGGAGGAGGCUGGCUCAACGAGAGGAGCGAGAGAGAGACAGAAGACAGAGAAAGAAUGUAAUACUGCCACUGUUGAACAUCAGCAGGGAGCUACAGGCAGAAGCCCUUCAGAGUCUUGAUCUGCGAAAGGCGAGAUGGACAUAGAUCUCGGGCAGGAGAGGUUUAAAAAAUGAGCACCGGGCAGAAAGGUGUCCUUGGGAGACCCUGUAUCGUUUUAUGAGGCGAGUAGUUUGAAACGCCAUAACAUUUUAUGAGGUGAAACACAGGUUUCACUUUAACCUGUAAAGAGUAAAUGUAUAGUAGAGGGCAAGAUUACAUCCAGAUGCAUUAAACUGACCAGCAGACCCAAAUCAAAACACAUGCACAUACGCACACACAUGCACUCCUGGGCUAGAAACAUAUCUCCUUUGACCCGGGAGGUUGUGUCCCAGUUUGGUAAUAUAUUCUCGAUAAGAUCCUCUCCUGUUUCAGUGCAAUCUAAGACUAUGACAACAGAAAAAUGGAGGGCCCAGUCUGAAAAACCCCUCCCUAAUUGAUGAACCGGUGAGGUCAUAUAAUUAACAGCCUAGUUAUCAUAAUAUCAACAUCGUCUAUCUCCAGUAGGAUUGUG